Molecule: ribosomal RNA, 527 nt
Filed under: Clostridioides difficile
Lineage: Bacteria; Bacillati; Bacillota; Clostridia; Peptostreptococcales; Peptostreptococcaceae
Description: partial 23S ribosomal RNA
Rfam family: Bacterial large subunit ribosomal RNA
Source: RNAcentral
AGAGUGUAAAGGCAAAAGAGAGCUUGAUUGCAAGACAUACAGGUCGAGCAAGGAUGAAAAUCGGACUUAGUGAUCCGGUGGUUCUGCGUGGAAGGGCCAUCGCUCAACGGAUAAAAGCUACCCUGGGGAUAACAGGCUUAUCUCCCCCAAGAGUCCACAUCGACGGGGAGGUUUGGCACCUCGAUGUCGGCUCAUCACAUCCUGGGGCUGUAGUAGGUCCCAAGGGUUGGGCUGUUCGCCCAUUAAAGUGGUACGCGAGCUGGGUUCAGAACGUCGUGAGACAGUUCGGUCCCUAUCCGUCGCAGGCGUAGGAAAUUUGAGAAGACCUGUCCUUAGUACGAGAGGACCGGGAUGGACGUACCUCUGGUGUACCAGUUGUCCUGCCAAGGGCAUGGCUGGGUAGCUAUGUACGGAAUGGAUAAGCGCUGAAAGCAUCUAAGCGCGAAGCCAACUUCAAGAUAAGAUUUCCCACCGCAAGGGUAAGACCCCAGAAAGACUAUCUGGUUGAUAGGUCGAAGGUGUAAGUG